UUUAAAGAGAGUUUGAUCCUGGCUCAGGACGAACGCUGGCGGCGUGCCUAAUACAUGCAAGUCGAACGAACGGAGGAAGAGCUUGCUCUUCCAAAGUUAGUGGCGGACGGGUGAGUAACACGUGGGCAACCUGCCUGUAAGUUGGGGAUAACUCCGGGAAACCGGGGCUAAUACCGAAUGAUAAAGUGUGGCGCAUGCCAUGCUUUUGAAAGAUGGUUUCGGCUAUCGCUUACAGAUGGGCCCGCGGUGCAUUAGCUAGUUGGUAGGGUAAUGGCCUACCAAGGCAACGAUGCAUAGCCGACCUGAGAGGGUGAUCGGCCACACUGGG
RNAcentral lists this ribosomal RNA (328 nucleotides) under Listeria monocytogenes. RNAcentral describes it as "bacterial SSU rRNA". It matches the Rfam family "Bacterial small subunit ribosomal RNA", at positions 1 to 317 of the family's 1533-position model. Lineage: Bacteria; Bacillati; Bacillota; Bacilli; Caryophanales; Listeriaceae. The record is from RNAcentral.